UCCUUUUUUUUGUAGGAUAGAGGGCUGAGCAGCAGGCAUAACUGAUUGACAAGCUGACAACAGCAAGGUGCUUCAGAUAUAAUGACAGUGUGCACAUGCGCUUUAGUGACAUGUUGUGCUAGUGAUCUGUAGGAGAAUUAGGCAGGGAAUCUAUGCAAGGAAAGUUUUUAUUAUUUUGAAACUGGAACUAAUGACACUGGUAUUGGAUUACCGGUCUUACUGACUUUAUAUAUAAUCUCCCUUCACACCUAAUCUCAUCAACUGGAUAGGUAUUUCUGGUUCAGAAUAUUUAUAGCUUUGAACAGAACAUUGGUGCUCUUGUAACUAUCAUUAAAGGGGUCCUGCCUCUUUGUUCAUGUUUAUCAACAUUUAAAUUCAAUUCUAAUUCUUCAAAGACUACAACAAGGUGAUCAAUGUAAAUUGAUGGCUGGAUUCGGUUAAUCACAUGUUGAACUUGCAUUUUAUUUUUAGUAGAGGUUUAUUUGCAAGCACAGGAAUAAUGAAGCCCUAGGUUUAGUGCAUUUUUUCCCUCCAGAGUUGAGCCUAAGGAUUCAAGUUCACUGACACUUAUCAUUGUGGGUUCAAGCAUUUGCACACAUAUUAGCAUAUUGAAAUGGCUAAAGUAUUAGAGGUUGGUGCUAGAGUCUUUCCAUAACAGCGCACUUGGGACUGAAGUUUGAUUCAUGCAAAAUUUUUCAAUUGAAUCAUGCUUGAUGUUCAAAAACUAGCAAGAAUCAUAGAAAUAGCAACACUGUAUUGUGUAAUAGGUUGCAUACCUUUUCCCCCUUUGCAUUUGUUUAUUUUUCUAACGUUGUUUGGAAAUUGCCACAUCAAGGCCUAAUUUUCUAGUGAUCUGCCUAGCGCCCAAUAGCUAGCUAGCCUCUCUACUCAAGCAUUGAGGCAUCACCCCCUUCUACCCACCUAGGGCAUUUUCAGAUCAGUGUUUUGAAACUUUGCUUCGUAGUGGUACUCUUUUCUUAUUGUAACUGACUGUAUGCUGAGAGCGAAUAUCUAUAUGCUGAGACUUUGCUGAUUUCUUUUUUCCUUUGCAUUAGGUUCGUGAACUAGCUGAGAAGGAACCUGAGAAUGGUGUUUUCAAAAUGCUCCGAAAUGACGUCACUCGUUUCCUGACAACUAUUCUCAUUGGCACAACGUAAUCCAUGGCAUUUCUAAGUUGUGCAUCACUCAUUGCAAUUUUGUUUUACUAACCCUAAACCCUAAUCUCGGGCAUAAUUUGUAUGAAAUAGUGUGGUCAACAUUGGCGCAACAGCAAUUGUUACUGAGGCAGCAACAGCAAUGUUUGGUGAAGCAGGUGUUAGUGCAGCAACAGGUGUCAUGACAGUAUGUCUCCUGUCUCAUACUGGCCUUCUGCUCUUGUGUAAGUGUUCUUUAAUCUAACUAUGGAGCACCAUUUUUUAGGUUGCCAUCUUACUUCUUACAGAGAUCACUCCCAAAAGUGUUGCAGUCCAUAAUGCCACCGAGGUCGCUAGGUUUGUGGUAAGGUGAGAGAUAUCAAGUAUAACUUAGUUUCAAACAUGUUUAUUUUGAGUACUGAACAUUGUGCAUUUGUUGCGAUAUAUCAGACCGGUCGCAUGGCUUUCGCUGAUCCUCUAUCCAGUUGGGCGGAUUGCUACUUUUCUGUCUAUGGGAAUGCUAAAGAUUCUAGGCCUGAAAGGGAGAAGGUAAGACUGUAAGAGUAUGUAUAAUACUCUAGUUCUUGAUCAACUAGAAGAUAAAUUCUUUGAAAAUAUGCCAACUCAAUAAGCUCAUGUUAGUCAUAGAUUAUAUCCCCCAUUAGUUAUGAUAUGCUUUCAAGAAGGAUACACAAACAAUAAAUUAAUUCAUGCCACAAGAACCACACAGAACUCUUUUUUAAGAGCAUAUGGCUUGCUCUGCGUAGUGGAUAUAACCAGGGAAGCACAAGGAUUGAGUUUCUAGGUGUGUGUGGGUUCUGCUCAGGUGGGCAACUCUAGCUUCAUCCAUCUGUAUCUUUUUCUUGAUGAAAUGGCAUGCAGCUCUUUUGCGUCAUUCGAGAAAAAAUAACCAGGGAAGCACACUGAUUGAGUUCCUGGUUCCUGCCAAAUAAAAUCUCACCUGUUUUCUUUUAAAAAUGGAUUAAACUUGUAUAUUACUAGAAUUCAAGUACAAAUGAGAUGGUACAACAUGGACUAGAUUAGACUAGUUUGAGUAUGUGUUGAGUCUAGUUUAUAGGGUGAUAGUUGUACUUUCUAAAAUUUCUAUAAUUAGUAAAUAGUGCAGUGACUAUAUUUUUAAUCAAUAGAUGACCGUUGACACUAUUCCAAGAAUUGCAUAUCAUCUGUUAUUGUUCAUGAAGGAUCUAAUUCUAGUUUGAAUUUGCUAGAAACUUAUUGAUUGCUUUCUGUAUAAUUUAGUUUACAAAUUGAAUUUAGUAUCUGAUAUUGUAAUACAAUACACAUUUGUAUGUUAUUUUUUGCAUUUUUUUUACAAAAUCCAGUACUCAAGUACAUUGAUUUGCUAUGUCUUUUAGUUACUACAUUUGUAUAUGUUUAACCAAUAUACAAUUGAGAUUCCUAUAUAGAUAAGAUUUAGUUUUUCUUUUUCAUAACUCUUGACAUUUCUGGAGAUCUACUUCUGAAUCUUGUGCAUCAUAUACACUUCUUUCCUCAGUGAACCAUAUGUUACUGAAGAUGAACUGAAGUUAAUGUUACGAGGAGCAGAGUUGAGUGGUGCAAUUGCAGAAGAUGAACAGGUUAGACAAUCUAGUAUAUGGAGAUGCCCAUAUAUUGUGCUGCAUAUUUCCUUCUUUAUUCUUUAUGUUUCUGUGUACCUCACAGCAAGAUUUUGUUAUCCAGUGCAAUCUAGGCAAAGCCUUUACUUACAAUUUUUAUAUCAUAUAGAAAGCUGACUACUUACAUAAAUAAAGAGUGAAUUAAUGAAAUUUCAGGAAAAUAGUAACUAACGUUUUUGCAUGAUUUUAACUGCUAAUUUAAUGUUUGUACACCAUCUCAUCACAUAUAUCCAGAAUUUGAAAAGCAGUAUGGCCCCAAAGGUUUGAGUUAGAUUAUACUGUUGCAGACUAGGAUUUUGCCUCUUGAUAGUUUACUAGCACACUUUGGCUACUUCUUUGUUUUCUUGAAAACGCAGGAGAGCUGCACUUCAUUAUAUUAAGAGGAUAAAGGGCAAGAGCCCGAACAACCCCACAAACACCAUACACACACCACACACAUCACACACUCACGCCCCAACAGAAAUGUUACAUUCGCGCCCGUAAGAAAACACACAACGCGACCACUACUAGGCUAAACAUUUCUAACUAUCGGGGAGGAGGGCAGUCAAGAAUGAUAGCUCUCGAGCUGCUGCCAUAGACCAUAAACGGCGCUCCUCGCCUGCUAUGAUCAGAGCGCCAGCAAGGUUUGGAGCUGCUCCAUCAAAGACACACCCAUUGCGAUGGUUCCAUAUAGUCCAAGCUCCGAGCAUAACAAGAGAAUUAAUUCCUUGCCUUGUCAGCCCAUCAGCAGUGCUGCUAGCCUUCUCCCACCAAGCAUGGAAGGAUAAUUCUGUAAGCUGAGGGGACAAAAGCCUGAUUGAACCAAAAUUCUCUUGUGAACACACAAUGGACAAGUAGAUGGUCGAUAGUCUCCUUUUCAUGGUCACAAAGGAGGCAAUUCUCCGGAUGAGGUAACCCUCGGCGUGCUAGACGAUCAGCUGUCCAGCACUUAUUGUGCGACCAGCCACAUAAAGAAACGGCAUUUGGGCAGCACCCAUGAUUUCCAAAUCUUUUCCCAUGGUCCAAAAAGAGUAGAUCCGAAAAAGAAGCCUUCAUAUGCCGAUUUAGCCAAGUAUUGUCCAUUAGAGGAGAGCCUCCAUAGGUGCUGCAGCUGAAAAUCCAGAAGUAGAUCCCACCAUAAGUGAAAGUAGUCAACAAACCCACCAACUGUGAGCGCUCCUUGUAUGUCCAAAAUCCAAGCCCGGUUAGUAAGGGCAUCCUGGACAGUAUGCUGCUUAACCCUCCUUUUAGGAGUAGCCACAAAAAGUCGAGGGGCAAGAUCUGCAAUGCAUUGCCCAUUGAUCCGAUCUGUCCAGAAAAGAGUGUUUGCACCAUCCAAUUUCAGAAGUUACUGCCACUGAGUAGAAGGCUCUUACUUGCUUCGGCACAUGGAAUGGUAGAGCAGCCCAAGGACAAUGAGGUUCUGUUUUCUGCAGCCAAACCCAUCUCGUGCGCAAGGACCAGCCAAGGGUUUUUAAAUCUGAAAUUCCCAGGCCUCCAAGCUCUGGUGGGCCACAGACUUUGACCCAAGCCACAAGACAAUGACCACCUUUUUGCAUAUUUUCGACCCCUCCAAAGAAAGCCACGCCAAAUUUUAUUUACCACUUUGAUAGCCAUGGAGGAAAGUCGAAAGCAAUAGCUAAGUAAAUGAGCAUUCUCAGUGAGAACUGAUUGUACUUGAACCCUUCUUCCAGCCCUUGUCAUUAGGUCUGCCUUCCAGCCAGGAAGUUGAUCUGCAGUACGAUCAAUAAUAGGCUGCACUUGUUUCUUUAGGGAGAGGGGCAGACCUAAGUAUUUGCAUGGGAAAUCCGAGAGGGGCACACCUAGCUAGUUUCUUUGGCUACUGUUAUCCUUUAGGUAUUUUGCAGAACCUUUCCAUAGCAAUCCCAUUAAUCUUUAGGAAGCGAUCCCAUUUGUUAAAGCCCCUGCAGGCAACUUUCAAGUUCAUUAUUCUCGAUCACAGGUAGUCAUUCUGCAUAUUUUUCCCUCAGAAUCAUCAUAAGAAUUGGGUUAAGUGGAUAGGUCAGACUAUAGCAUGGAAAUACAUAAGUACUGAUAGGUUGUUGAAACUAUCUAAGACUACAGAUUUAUCGUGUCAAUUUGUCACAAAUAACAGAUUUUAGCUGAUGAAAUCAGUACUUCUGCAGUACAUAGAAAUACUAAAUGUGUAGUUUUAGUUUUGCAAAAACAAGGACACUAAAUUUAUAAUUCUGUGAUAAAACUUCUUAAAUCUGUAGUUUUGUGAUAGCAUAGCCCACUCACACAUAUACAAAAAAAAAGAAAAAGAAAAAAAGGAACCAUAUAGUUAUUUAUGUGCUUAGAUUCUAGGCCCUAGAACUAGAACCUAUAGCUGUGUUACACUAUUAUGAAUUCCUAGUCCGUGCCUGCUUGUGCAGGACACUUUUCUACUUGAUCAGCUAAAGUCAGCACCUGAGUCUUUUAACAGGAUAUGAUCGAGAAUGUCCUGGAAAUUAAAGAUACACAGGUGAGGGAAGUAAUGACGCCUUUGGUGGACGUAGUUGCAAUUGAUGCUAUUGCAACACUUAUUGAUUUCAAAAACUUGUGGGAAACUCAUCAGUACUCUAGGUAUUGUCAACUAUUAUUGUCGCGUGUAUUUUCAAGUCUUAUCACUGACAUCUGCUGCUAUUUGUUAUUUCCAGAGUUCCUGUAUUUGAGGAGCGCAUAGAUAAUAUUGUUGGAAUUGCAUAUGCAAUGGACAUGCUUGAAUAUGUUGAAGAGGUAUGUCUCUUGUUUACCAUUUAAUGUAAAACUUAAUCACAGUGAGUCUUAUUUGCUCCACAUGAUGCUUCUCUAAAGGGAAAGUAAAAGGUGUAUUUUUCUUUUGAAGGUUGAGAAGCUGAAUGAAAUCACUGUUAAGAAAAUCGCACAUAUGCCUACAUACUUUGUUCCAGGUAAUUUUUAGUAACAUUGUUGGAUACAAGUAUCAUGAUGAACUAAAAGAAGGCAUCUGUCAGUAGUUAUAGGGUUGGAUGUUUUUCCACAACAAUUAAUCAUUUCUGCCACAUGUUUUCUCCCAUCUAUGCAUCAUGGAUGUAACAUAUGAUACUGUUUCAUCUGGCAGAUUCAAUGUCUGUUUGGAACCUAUUAAGAGAGUUCCGGAUCAGGCAGGUUCAUAUGGCAGUGGUCCUUAAUGAAUAUGGUGGAACUAUUGGUGUAUGUCCCUAUGAAACCCAUUUUUUAUACUUUACAAACUGGACACAGUUUAGUACUUGUUAAUAUUCUUGUUAUGCUUUCAUCCAAGGCUAGUUGCUCAAUUGAGACCAUUUUGACUUAUGGCACACAACGAGGUUCAACAUUGUUUACUCCAAUCAAUUUUUAGUUGUAACUUCCAAGCAUGCUAGUUAGUUUGCUAAUAAUUGAUGAAUGCUAGUCAGUACAUGGUGACAUUUUGAUGGCCAUUUAUUGGCAACACUACUGGCUUUUGUUCCACAAUGGUCGUGUUUUUAGCACAAGCAUGUGGUGCGAUGCUUCAAGUGAUCUUGCUGCACAGCUUAUGUAACUGCAGCAAUGGGGCACUUUUCAUCUGUUGCAGUAGCAGUCCCUGUUGUUCAUGGUUUGUUUCCUUUUAAGAUAUACCCCACACAUAGAGAUUAGUUAUGCUCCAUGCAGCAGAGAUUAUUACUUUCCACAAGUUUAGAGAUUGUUUCUUAGGAAGUAGUUAUGCUCACAGUUUGUUCAUCAGUUUCUGUUUUCAGAAGUAGUUGAUGAGCGAUGAACAUGUUUUGAUUAUGUUUGCUGCUGAAAGGAUAAUUCUUUAAGAUGUUUUUCUCAUUACUGAUGCUCAUUGGUAAAAGUUGCAAAUGAUUGGACAAAGCUACUACCCGUGAGCUUCCUUUGUCUCACAUACCCUUCGAGCAAUUACGCUUUAAUGUAGCAAUAUCUAUCCAUUACUUGCAGCAACUAAGUCCUAUUGUAUUCAGAAAUGUUUAUUAGAACAGUUUGUAAUUUCAUAUGUUUAUCACUGCAUGGGACAUUGGGAAUUACUCUGACCUUUGGCCAAAAAAAAAUGCAGAUUGUAACACUAGAAGAUGUAGUGGAAGAAAUAGUUGGUGAAAUAUUUGACGAGAAUGAUUCCAAGGUGAUUAUUUCUGGAAUUUUUUAUUUCAAAUCGCAAGUGGGUGUUCAGUGCCAUACAUAUGCAUGCUAUUAUUUUCUAUUUCUUUUUCAAAAUUAUUUCCCCCUUUCUUUUGGUUUAUUAUUCCCUUUUUGCCUUGUAACUAUCGUUCUUAUAUUACAUAACUGACUUUUCAUAUGUUGGUAAUAAAUAAUGAUAUGCUAGCAUUUGAACUUACGAAAUUUAGUGGGCCAAACAUACUGAGCCAUGCCAAAAAAGACAGGCAAAUCAUACAGUCAUAUUUUAGCAGCAGCAGUGCAUUAGCGCGGUGGGUACUGAGCCGGAGUUUGCAUGUGCCUGAAGGUGGCUGAAUGAAUAAGGUGGAUAUUACCCUACCCGCACCCAAAUCAAAAUGUGUAUUUUAUUUCUACCCAUACCCUCCCCAAUUAAUGCGGGUGUGGAUUUGAAUAUGGGGAUUGAAUAUCCAGCGGCAGGUAUAAAGAUUAGAUCUCCUGCCUCAGUGCUUCUCCAAGAUCUGGAAGCAGCUGCUUCACUCCUAUUUUCUGUAUCCUAGUCAAAACAAAGGAUUUUUCCAUGUAGCAAGCUAGUUGCUCUUUGUCAUUUGCUUAGGCAGUCUCUCAAUUCCUUCUGCUACUCUGUUUUUCACCCUUUCAGGAGGAAAUCCAGAAGAAAACAGGCUAUAUAGUGAGGCGGGGAGAUGGAACAUUUGAUGUUGAUGCAAAUACAUCAAUAGAUCACCUCUCUGAAGAGCUUGGUAUCAAAAUACCAGAGGUAUUGUUUCUCAUUUGAUCUUAGCUUUCUCUACAGUUGCUAUGCAUUCCCUUGGACAUGUGUAUAUUUAAGGAAGGUAUGGCUCGGAAAAUAGUAGAUUGAUUAUGAGUAGUACAAAAGGGUAGGCAAGGAUGAUCUGGGAUUUAUAGAACAAUACCCAAUCAGGGAGAUCCUUGCCUAAUAGCUAAUCAACUACAUAAAACCCAUGGAGGCAGGCUUAGGUGCCAGGGCCCAUGCGGCCAGCCCAAUAGCCCUCUGGAAACUCCAUUCUAACAUAUAUGUUGGAGUGGACACUGUAUGAUGAUCAUCGAAAUGUGAGUUCCAUCAUUUAGAGAUGCCUGGUUUGCAGAACCUAUACAGAUAUAACGUUAUUAUAUCUAUUUUUUGGUGGAAACUGGACAUUUAAUAUUUAGGUCAACAAAAUAUUCACAAAUGUUCUGUUUGUAAAAUAUGCCCUUGGUAGUCAUCAUUUAUAUGGUGCUCUGUAUUUCUGUCAUGUUUCUCGUAGAUUGGCUGAUAAUCUUGAGACACUUGGACACUAUCUUUUGGCAGGGGCAUCAGUAUGAGACGGUGUCUGGUUUUGUCUGUGCAUCUUUUGGCUAUAUUCCAGAAGAAGGUGGGAAAAUGCUUGUGAUUCUUGAAAAGGAUUACAGAGAAGAAAACGGUGAAUAUCAGGAGGAAGGUUCUGAUCGCCAAGAUGAUAGAGAAAAAACUCAAGCUUACGAACUUGAGGUAAUUGUUACAACUCCUUGUGUACUCUGUUUGCUCAAGAGUUCUAGUACCAGGUCAAUUAUUAUAAUGCGAUUAUCUUGUCAUCGCUAGAAAUCUUUACUAGUAUAUAUAACUAUUAUGAAUUUUCCUUCAUUACUUGAAAGCUGAAAGACACCACAAAAGCUUCAAUUUUCUUUGUUGAUGCAAUACCAUGAAACCUUUUUUGUUAAAUAACUCUCAUUAGAACCAAUUUUCCAUACAGGGCAUUUGGUUCUUAGAUCAUUUUAUAGGAUAUUUCGUACUAUAAGUAAGAACCAACUACUAUCCACAAUUACCUCUACAUGCUUGUUUGUGCAUAUAAAAAGACAACAAUACUCAGAAGGUUGCUGUAACAUGUCCACACUCCGCUUUUGUGGUGCUAAUACUACCGAACAUUUGUAAUUGCUUUUUUUAUUUGAAGCUAAAAAAAGAAAGUAUACAAAAACUAAUAGAUAAGAAAACCAACUACUCAAUUGUCAAUUCAGAAUUCAUACUGUGGGUUAUAAGGUUAUUUCAGUGAAAUUGUUUUGGUAUUGGUACACAACCUUUAUUAGUUGGUGCAACUCCCAUUUCCGGAAGUCUUCGUACACUUUAAUUGAAUUGCUGCAGCCCUAGGAAUCCAUAGUUUCUGUUUCACAAUUCACCCAAAGUUUCAUUCUUUGUUGCAGAAUUAAAUAACCUUCUGUAGUUGUUUUCACUACCUUUAUUACCUGGCUUCUCUUGCUCACAGAUAGUGGAAGCUAAUGCAAGGAAGGUGGGCAAAGUCCUAUUUAAGCCAAUAAGCAGUGAAUGUGUUGGUGUUGACAACAAGGGUGUGAACCGCCUGGUCUCCAAGAAGAUCAUCAAACGGAAGAAGCAGGGCUAUGAUGAUUCCUCCGGUGACGAGUAUCCAGAUACAACAGAGAAUGGCUGCCCUGCUGAGGCACUCUCCUACUCGGAUGGUAACAGUGCCUUGUUGGAAGAUGCAAGCAGUUCUAGUGCCAAGAGGUGACAAUAAAGGAACUCCAAGACCAUCGUACUACUGGUAAUAAUUACAGCACACCGUCACCGGUCCUAAUACCCCUUGUUACAACAGAAGAAGAUGAGAAGAACAUAGUAGUAGGCUACCCAAAAAAAAAAACUGCGAGAGCAACACCAAGAGGUUAACAGCAGUUUAAGGCAUUGCAACAUUUUUCAGUAGCAGGAGUAGCAGUAGUAGCAGUCUAGAGGUGCAGCGAGGUGUCGACGUCGACUUCACCAGAGACAUGUUUGUAGUUGUAGGUCUUACUGGGCCACAGCUCCACCGCAAUGGGGUCGCUAUCGCCGUGGAGCUGGAAGCUUUUGCAUUCACAGACAGUGGUUGGCACGGCCGGGAAUAAGGAGGCUGCGGCGGCAACAGCGGCAGUGGUUUCCCGCAGCGGCCUGCACGGGUAGAGCAGCUCCGGGUGGAAGAACCACUUGACGGGCAUCUCCCUCGGGGAGGCGGUGGCCGCAGGGCGGGGGGCGAGCACGUGGAGAAGCCUCUCCUCCCGCUUCUCCCUGAUCCUCUCCAGCUCCCUGAACCUCUGCUGCAGCAGGGCGAUGGAGGAGAACAUCACCUGGCCUUCGCUGCUCUGCACCCCCAUGAUGACUGGGCGAGAGGGGGAGCUCUCACUCCAGCUCCGAGUUUCAGUUACGUGUUCGUGUCGUGUGUAUCUCACUCAAGCGUCUGUCUACUUCGCUCGGUGUGUGUGGGGGUUUUGCUUGCUGCUUGAAGGGGUGGUGGUCUUGGGCAUGUGCGUAUUUAUAAGCCGCAAAGUUUUGUCACGGCGCAGGGCGUCGUCUUGUGGUCGUCUUGCAAGUUGCGCCAAUUCUUUCAUCUUCAUCUUCCAUUAUGUGAUGCUAUGCCUGUUUGUGUGUUUUGUUUAUGGGCUGAUUGAAAAACAAAAGAGGCACUAUUGGUAUGAGAGAGAAUCUGGGAGGAGAAUGUCACGUCGCCCGAGAAAGGAAGUGGGAGGCGUGCAGGUGAGAGAAUAAGGGGCGUGGCGUGGGAGAGUCCAAGGAAAUGGGGCUGUGGACGCUUGCGCUUGUUCCGUUCCUGGCGGUGGGAAUCGCCGUGUGCCGUUGUGAUGUGCGGGGUGGCCAUGAUUGCGCCUCUGUUUGUCUGUCACCUUUUUCCCUUGCGCAUUGCUGCAGCAGCAGGGCAGGGGAGAGGUCUGCAUGCCCUGCCAUGCCCUGCCCUGCUGCUCGUACUAGCUCGCUACUACUCCCUUCCCCCUCUCCAUCCAAACGGGCACUGCGAGCUUUUCCUGGUCUAUAAUGGCGUCGUUGGAGCUGUAGUACGUGCUGUUCGUAGCAACUGUGGGCAGCGCUUUCAGGUGUGGAACUGUGCACUCCAUGAGCCAUUGUCUUCGUUUGCGUGUGUGAACGUGUUGGAGAGUCUGGGAGCAGAAAGUCUGCGUUGAACGUUACUUCUUUGGGUCUUUGACUGGUGCGUCCAUAGAUCUGUGAAUGGGAGCGCUGAUUGCACGCUGCGUAGUACAGUGCGUUCGAGUAACGCUGAGACGGCGUGCUGCUUUGAAGUUUCAACUUUUGGUUAAUUCAGGAAAGUUGAUUGAUCUUAUGUUUUUUGACGGCCAGGUAAACACGGCCAAUUGCACCGGCGUCAAAAAGACCUCUGUCAUCCGAUGCUUUGGACAGUAAUUGAGAUAUUCGUAACAAAUGCUUCACUACCCGAAGAGAAAACUAGUUUUCGUUGGUUUCCGCAUUUUGUGAAAAUAAGAAAGGGCAUGUUUGAGUCAGAGUCGGGUUAUUAUAAUUGGAUUAUCGACUCUAAUAAUUAGAGUGCUAGAUUUUUUGUGGUGGAACCUAUCCAUUUCUUGCCUAGCCAGCCAACUAUCAUGAUGCUACAUGGUAUUUAAGUAACGACCAUUUUCUCAAAUGGUCAAGGAUUAUAUUCUUCUUUGAUUUUUUUUUCCCUUCAAGUGGCCUAGGGUUUUGUAGUCUAAUGUGAACAAUAUCAGGUGAAAACAAAAUAGCAUCAAAGAAUAGAUAGCCAAAAUGCCUAACGAAAAGGAAAAUUGUGGGUUACAUGUCUCAUGAAUUAUUUGAUGAAGUAGAAUAAGAUACGUUCGGUUAUUUGAGAGAAAAAAAAACUGCACAACAUAAAAAAAUAACUGUUUGCCUAGUUGGCUAAGAAAAAAUAUAGUGGGCUCCAUGGCUCCUAAGACUCUUUAAAUAUCAUGUAAAUGGAUAUAAAAGAAGUCAAUAAAUCAUUCUGCUGAUAUUGACUGAAUUAUUUGCUAUCAACAAUUAUCCAAAAAAGAUUUCUUUAAGAAUAAUAUUUCUACCAUGUAAAACAAGAAGAAAAAGACAAAUUAAUCGGAACUUUUGUUUGUGGCUGGAACUAUUGUAAAUGUCAUUGUUGAGUUGAGAUAUUUUUUUUUUGAAGUUCCCUUUUUGCGAGGAAUGAGUAAUCUGAACGUUAUUUGUUUGUGGUUGUUGAUUCCCUGGAGCUGUUAUAGAAGUCAUUAUUGAGUAGAGAUUUUUUGAAGUUCCUUUUUGCAACGAAUGAGUAAAUAGUUGCAUAGAUGUUUGAUGGUAUUAGCAUACUCUGCUUCUAAAAUAAUGAAAGGGAUUUUCCGUUACUAUUUAGUUGUGGACUGAGGCCUGAAGAAGUAUGUUUUGAAACUCGGAAUUUCAUGGAGGAUUUGUAGGAAUCCCAUAUAUAAUAAACAUGUCAAAAUUAAUCCUCCUAUAUUUUCUUGGUCAUUUUCUAGAGCUAGGCUCAUUUAUCUUUAAUUUGUCUAGUGAAGAGUAUAUGUAUAUCCUUUGCUCCAAACAUGUAGUGGUGAGUGGAGUUUACUAAUAUUAUUAUGUGUAGUUAACCUAGAACUAGAAGCUUGGUAACUGAGCCUUAUCUAAUCUGGCCCUAAACUAACUUAUCAUCCAAACUGAUCAGUUGGAGUCUUGUGACGAUGAUAUCUCUGGUUUGUUGUGGAACGGGACUAGUACUGCCGGACAUAUUAUACAUUGGAUGCAUGCGACAUAUAUACAGUGUUGAACUUGUUUAUAUUAAUUUAUCCUGGAUAGCCAAUAGUAGCCCAUAACAUUAACAUGCAACAUAGUAUAUGCAUUUGCAUGUACUGCUAGUUCCCUGCUACGUACGAUCCUGACAGUAGGCACCUAAUCUUUCCAUGCCCCAAUAUUUUACCGCCGCUGUCGCUUCCAUUCUAGAGAGAGAACAAUAUGACCAUCUUGUAAAACAUUCUAGAGAAGAGAUGCAUGGAGAGUAUGGCAAUAAUUUAAGCAGAUUGAUGGGAGCGAGAUAUUUUUAAAGGCAGAUCAUCGAUUGAUGCAUGGGAGCGAGAGAGCUUAGCAGAGAAAAUAAAGAAGAUUGGUGAUUGGUGAUAGGCCGGGGCAGCCGUGGUGCAGCAGCAGCUAGAACUAGAGAAGCUAAAAGGAAGGCUGAUGGCAGGGCAGGGCAGUAGUUUAAGGACGGGUCCAUGCCUGCAGCUAGCUAGCAUCUAUCGACGUUCCUCCGUUGUCGCGGAGCCGGUGGACGCGAAUGGCAUGCGUGGGUGCACUACCCUGCUGAUGCACACAGCAUGCAUUGCUGCCUGCAUGCGACAUGGUAUACAGCUCCCGGCCGGCGUCUCUCCUCUCCUCUCUUCUCUUCUCUUGUCCAUCCAUCGGCAGCAUACGGUCGGUCACUCGCAGCAUGCAUGCUCCUCUGAUCGAGCUCUGCUGGUGUCGUGUCGUGUCGUCGAUGGAUCGGGGCCGGGUUGGGUGUUGCUGCAUUGCAUGCUCCCUAAAGCGCCGCCCUUGUUGCCAAAGUGAAUGCUGCCGACGACGACCGCCGCGCCGCCCGUCUUCUUUUUCGGCGGAGGGGGGCGGCCGGGCACGGGCACGGGCACGGCACAGUCUUCCGGGCAGGGGCAGGGGCAGCCGGGCAAGCCAACACCUGCUAGCGGACGAGAAAUUGAAUCGAAUGGGAAACAAAGAAAAAAUUGAUGGCUGAUGGCUCCAUCUUUCUUUCUGUCUGUCUGUCUGUCGGUCAGUCAUUUUACUAAUUUAUUUGACUGCGCUACGGAGACGACAGUGUAACAUUUUUAUUUGUAUUUAAUAAUUAUUAUUUAACUAUAGACUAAUUAGGCUCAAAAGAUUCGUCGCGUAAACUAUAGACAAACUGUGCAAUUAGUUUUUAUUUUCGUCUAUAUUUAGUACUUUAUACAUGUGCCACAAGAUUUGAUAUGACGGGAAAUUUUAAAAAGUUUUUGAAUUUCGAAGUGAACUGGUCAAAUAUGCAAUGCUUGUACGUGCGCACUAGUUUAUGCCAAUGAUUCAUUUUUCGCGGAUCCUCCGAAUUUCACACCAUACAGUCAGAAUAUAAUUGCUCCAAGACACGUCAAUUUUGAUGCGUCAAUUUGUGCAUGUGGUUCCUGGCACUACUGGAUCCGGCUUCUUUGCCGAGAGCCGCGAGCCCUCGGCAAAUGCCUAAAAGCCCUCGGCAAAGGCUUUGCCGAGGGCCAUAAACGCCCUCGGCAAAGCCUACGGCGCCGUCGAAAAACGUCAAUAUUGACGUCGUCUUUGCCGAGAGCCAUGCUGGCAGGCUCUCGGCAAAGAUUCUUUAUUUUUUUUAAAAAAAGCCUUUGCCGAGAGCCCUGCAGGAAGGCUCUCGGCAAAGAACCCCUUUGCCGAGAGCCAGACAUCCAGGCUCUCGGCAAAGAACCCCUUUGCCGAGAGCCAGACAUCCAGGCUCUCGGCAAAGCUGUAGUUCUUCUGAACCCGGCUUUCUAUCUUUGCCGAGUGCCAGCCAUCCAUGCUCUCGGCAAAGCUGAGAAUUUAGUUUUUUUUUCUGUUUUUUAUCUGUUUUUUACAUGCACAGCCACAUAUGUAUAUAUAUAUAUCACAAAUCCCUUUGUCUAUAUCACAAUCCACAUAUAUAUCACGCAUGAAACAUAUCGAAGUCCACAGAUAUCACAAAUCCACAUAGAUAUGACAAAUAUAACAUUACGUCCAACAUAAACCAUAAGUCACCACAAGUUCAUAACAUAAACCACAAGUCCACGUGAAUAUCACUCCUCGAAGUCGCUAGCGCCUCACCCCUAGUGCUGUGACUCUGACCUGUCGUCGCCGUGGCCUCCGUCGUGUCCCGAGCCUCCAUCUGGCCAAGCCGACCAGGGUGAGUGCCCCCCAGGGUGUGUAGAGCUCGCACCUGCCCACGGCGCCCACAUGGCCUGCCCUGGCACCGACGGGUACGGGUACGAGUACCCGGGGCGCGGAGGAGGGCUGCCGGACAACCCGGGGUGGCCGUGCUGCGGAUGGGCACCAGGCCACGUGUGCUGCGUACUUGGGUGGCCAUAAGUAGUAACCUGCCACCCACUCCUUGGAGAAGGGGUCGGGUUCGAACCCCACGACUGAUGCUACAUAAUAUAAAAGCGAACUCAUUAGUAUCUGCAGGACGGCCACACAAGCCAAAGCAAUAGACAAACAUAUAUACACUCACCGGACUGCCUGCAGGGGCAGGAACAGGGGGUGGAACAGGGGGUGGAGCGAAGAGCGAGGCAGGCAGCGGAGGCGCUGUAGAGCUGUGGAUGGACUGGAAGUAUCCGACUAGGUCCGAGAUCUGACGCUGCGUGUGCUGCUGCUGUGCCUCCAUGUGGCGCCGAUGGGCCUCGUCUCUGGCCGCCAGCGCGGCCGCCAGCUCUCGCCGAUGAGCCUCCUGCAGCUCGUCCUGCCUGGCCCGCAACUCCUCUAGCUGCGACUGCAAUAUUACACCCGCAAUGGUUAAACAAUGCAAAAGGAGAUGUAUAUAUGUAAAAAUAAUGGACGAUGGAUAAAGCUGUAGUUACCUGCAUCGUAGCUAUCUGCUGCACGGAGCUCGGCUGACGAGGCCGUAUGGGGACGUCGGAGGUCGAGCUGCUCCCCUGCCGAACCUCGCGGAGCGUGGGUACGGUGGCCGGGUUGAUUGCGCUGUGGGCAAUCAUGUACCGGCCGUGCUGCUUCCCUCCUCCCGUCCUCAUGAGCAAGUCCGUGUCCGAGACCCUUUGCCGUGGGCCGUCCAGUCUGGCUCUCGGCAAAGACCCUUUGCCGUGAGCCUAACGCGCAGGCUCUCGGCAAAGAACUGCUGACUUUUUUUAUUCUUUUUGAAUUUAGAGCUGAGUUUUUUUUUUUGUCCUUGUGACUCAAUUUCUAAAUACAUUUUAAAAUUUGGCAUUAAUUUGACUUUUUUUGCUAUAUUUAACUAAUUAAUCUUGUUUCUUUAUAUUUUUUCACAUAAUUCAAAUUUCAACUGUAGGUACAUGAAAUAUUACAACUCAAUGAUUCGAAAAAUGAUAGUCAAGAUAUUUGGUGUACGUUGAGGUCGUAACCACAACCACACAUGAAAUCUCAACCCUCUCGCUAACAUAACAUGUCAAGGAAUGUGAGGGAAAAUGGAUUUAUAAUUAUAUAAAUUUCAAAUAAACUCCAAAAAUCACGAAACUUGGCGACGUGUCGUGUUAUCGCAUGUGGAGGCUGUGGUAAAAAAUUCAUAAGGUUCCGAGCAAGUUGCGACACCGGAUGUCUAAAACCCAGACAUCUCCACAUGUUAUCGAAUGUGAUCACAUGCGGAGAUGUCUGGGUUUUAGACAUCUCGUGUCGCAACUUACUCGAAACCUUAUGAUUUUUUUACCACAGUCUCCACAUGCCAUAACAUGACACAUCGUCAAGUUUCGUGAUUUUUGGACUUCAUUUGGAAUUUAUAUAAUUAAAAAUCACUUGUACGACACAUGGAUGGUCAUGUUUUAUAUACAAGAAAUUCAAACUCUUGGGUGAGUUUAUGGAUACAACAUCAAAAUGCAGUCUUGAACAUGAGUAUAAUUUUUUGAAUGACUAUAUUUUAUUAUUUCAUGCUCCUACAGUUCAAAAUUACUUUUUCGAGAAAAAUACAAAUAAAAUAAUUUAAUUAAAAAAUAUAGCAAAAUGUUAUAAAAAGCUCUCAAAUUUGAACAUGUGCUUAUAUACAAUAUGUAAGGGUUACAGAAAAAGUUUGAGUACAAAACUAAAAAAAAUCUUUCUUCUUUGCCGAGAGCUUGACAAGGCACUUGGCAAAGGCCUCCUCUUUGCCGAGAGCCUAACGCCGUGGCUCUCGGCAAAGGUGACGACAACGGUUGCCGUUACCAGCGCUGCUCCUUUGCCGAGAGCCUAUCUUUGCCGAGAGCUAGGCUGUCGGCAAAGCUAGCCUUUGCCGAGGGCUUGCCUUUGCCGAGAGCUUGACCAUCGGUAAAGUUUCUUUGCCGAGGGUCGUUUCUGACUGUCGGCAAAGGCAGUCUUUGCCGAGGGCUAGCUCUCGGCAAAGCUGAGCCCUCGGCAAAGCUCUCGUUUCCUGUAGUGUGGGCUUUGAAUUGAUCGAUGGCAAAAAGCCGUAAUGGAAGCACGUCGCGUCUUGAAUGCAUGCACUAUAUAGGAAUAUAGCUACACAAAAGAAGAGAAAUAAUGACACACAUAGUAGUAGCUAGCUAGUAAAGUGUGUAUGUAAGGCCUUGUUUAGUUCCCAGAAAAUUUUGCAAAAUUUUUCACGGUCCCCGUCACAUCGAAUCUUUAAACGCAUACAUAAAGUAUUAAAUAUAGACGAAAAUAAAAACUAAUUGCACAGUUUGGUCGAAAUAGACGAAACGAAUCUUUUGAGCCUAGUUAGUCCAUGAUUGGAUAAUAUUUGUCAAAUACAAACGAAAGUGCUACAGUGUCGAUUUUGCAAAAUUUUUCGGAACUAAACAAGGCCUAAACCUAAAAGCCCAUGCAUUAUUGCUUUUUAAAAAGUUAAAGCGGUGAUGGAUGGUUUUGUUCAUGGCUCGAGGAGGAUGUGUCCUAGCUAGUUGUUGGUGGGGGAGGUGAGAGUACCUAGGAAAAUUUGCUUACAUUUUCCUGUACAUGCAUGCAUGCAACGCUAAUUGGAUGGAUAUGGUCGGAACAUGCAUGGGUCCACCAUUCACAUCUCUUGGUCCUACACGCACGCCUACUAUUGUGAUGCGUCUCAGCUUUUUAAUGUGCCUGCGUUGCAUGCAUGCAGCUGGGUACGUAAGGACACGCCGCAAGCUGCCCAAACUCUAGCUCUGCUUCCCGCAUUGCAUUGCAUUGUAUCUACCUCGUGGCGCAUUAGGGUUAGAGAGAGAGAGAGAGAGAGAGAGAGAGAGAGAGAGAGAGAGAGAGAGAGAGAGAGAGAGAAGUGUGGUAUAGCUAGCAUGCAUCCAUAUAUAUCCGAUCGACCUGUAGUUCAUGGCACAUUCAUUAGGUUUGGAAGAGUGAGAUCGAGGCAGGACGAUAUGUAGUACGUCGUCGUCCUUCGUAUAAACGGACAUUCGCUCAAUGUUGAAUUGUUGACAGACGACGAUGCGCGCGGCACUUUGUUUGACCAUGCAUGCAUUCAUCCGUGCAUGCAUGGAGCGUCUAUGUGCUUGUCCCUGAAUAAACUAAUUAAUCACUGCACGAACUCGAUCGCCUUGCUGUCAACUUAGCUUAGCUUAUUACAAGUGUGUUAACGACAAGCAAUCAUGGAAAUGAGCUGCAUAUAGACACUGUUCACAAUGCACGUUAUGUUGGAGCACUAGCUAUAGCUAAUUAAUGAGCCAGCAAUUAACAAAACGCCUGCUAAACCAAAAUAUGCAUUUAAGCCAUGUUUCGUUUCCUCCGGUAAAGUUUAACUCCUGUCAUAUCGAGUGUUUGGACACAUGCAUUAAAUAUUAAAUAUAAAUUAUUUACAAAACUAAAAUAAAACUAGAGAGUAAUUUGCGAAAUAAAUCUUUUAAAUCUAGUUAGUCUAUAAUUAGAUACUAAUUGUCAAAUAAAACAGAAAUAUGCUAUAUGCUACAGUACAUCCUUAACCGGCAAGUACAGGCCGGGUGAGGCAUGUCGGAUGCUAGAGAUGGCCAAAUGGGCUAAGCCCAAUAAUACGCAGCCUAAGCACAUAUGGGCCUACUAAAGCAUCGCAUUACAUUAUGGGUCGAGCCACUAUGUGUCUCGUGCCCUUUUUUACCAUUCAAAAUGGGUGCUCUCAGGAUGGAUCAUAAUUAUGCCCCUUUUUAAUUCGAGAGCAAUGUUGAUCAAAUUUCGUCGUAGUUGCAGCACAGCCAAAAAAAAAAACUAACAAAAAGAGCCUGUCAGACAACCCAUGGGCCAUCCCAGCCAGGCAAGCCUGGCCGGAAACGAUCAUCUACAGCACCGGACAAAGCGUCAGAGCCAAUCCUGGCCGUUAAUCACGCUCUGGCCCACAGGUCAUGGCUCAUCAACCAGGCUUAAGUGCUUGCCUCCUUAUUAAUCAAGGAUGCAGCGGUACGAUCCUAUAGAACAGAUCCUGUUCAAGUAAGGUCGU
This 18675-nucleotide long non-coding RNA is filed under the name Sorghum bicolor (sorghum). Its description in RNAcentral is "long non-coding RNA (SBIC_LNC000284)". Lineage: Eukaryota; Viridiplantae; Streptophyta; Magnoliopsida; Poales; Poaceae. The record is from RNAcentral.